GGGUGCGAUCAUACCAGCAAUAAUGCACCGGAUCUCAUUAGAACUCUGAAGUUAAGCUUGCUUGGGCGAGAGCGGGUUAUCCCACGUGUGCAUGCCUUA
This 99-nucleotide ribosomal RNA is filed under the name Rosa chinensis. Lineage: Eukaryota; Viridiplantae; Streptophyta; Magnoliopsida; Rosales; Rosaceae. The record is from RNAcentral.